RNAcentral lists this ribosomal RNA (439 nucleotides) under uncultured bacterium. RNAcentral describes it as "partial 16S ribosomal RNA". It matches the Rfam family "Bacterial small subunit ribosomal RNA", at positions 339 to 795 of the family's 1533-position model. The record is from RNAcentral.
CUACGGGUUGCUCCAGUGGGGAAUAUUGCACAAUGGGCGCAAGCCUGAUGCAGCAACGCCGCGUGAGUGAAGAAGGCCUUCGGGUCGUAAAACUCUGUCCUAAGGGAAGAAUAAUGACGGUACCUUAGGAGGAAGCCCCGGCUAACUACGUGCCAGCAGCCGCGGUAAUACGUAGGGGGCAAGCGUUAUCCGGAAUCACUGGGCGUAAAGGGUGCGUAGGCGGCCUGUCAGGUCAGAAGUGAAAGGCUAUGGCUCAACCAUAGUAAGCUUUUGAAACUGAUGGGCUUGAAUACAGGAGAGGUAAGUGGAAUUCCUAGUGUAGCGGUGAAAUGCGUAGAGAUUAGGAGGAACACCAGUGGCGAAGGCGACUUACUGGACUGUUAUUGACGCUGAGGCACGAAAGCGUGGGGAGCGAACAGGAUUAGAUACCCGAGUAGUC